RNAcentral lists this ribosomal RNA (497 nucleotides) under uncultured bacterium. RNAcentral's name for it is "partial 16S ribosomal RNA". It matches the Rfam family "Bacterial small subunit ribosomal RNA", at positions 28 to 507 of the family's 1533-position model. The record is from RNAcentral.
GAUGAACGCUGGCGGCGUGCCUAAUACAUGCAAGUCGAGCGAACGGACGAGAAGCUUGCUUCUCUGAUGUUAGCGGCGGACGGGUGAGUAACACGUGGAUAACCUACCUAUAAGACUUGGAUAACUUCGGGAAACCGGAGCUACUACCGGAUAAUAUUUUGAACCGCAUGGUUCAAAAGUGAAAGACGGUCUUGCUGUCACUUAUAGAUGGAUCUGCGCUGCAUUAGCUAGUUGGUAAGGUAACGGCUUACCAAGGCAACGAUGCAUAGCCGACCUGAGAGGGUGAUCGGCCACACUGGAACUGAGACACGGUCCAGACUCCUACGGGAGGCAGCAGUAGGGAAUCUUCCGCAAUGGGCGAAAGCCUGACGGAGCAACGCCGCGUGAGUGAUGAAGGUCUUCGGAUCGUAAAACUCUGUUAUUAGGGAAGAACAGAUGUGUAAGUAACUGUGCACAUCUUGACGGUACCUAAUCAGAAAGCCACGGCUAACUACGUG